UACGUAGGGUGCAAGCGUUAAUCGGAAUUACUGGGCGUAAAGCGUGCGCAGGCGGUGAUGUAAGACAGUUGUGAAAUCCCCGGGCUCAACCUGGGAACUGCAUCUGUGACUGCAUUGCUGGAGUGCGGCAGAGGGGGAUGGAAUUCCGCGUGUAGCAGUGAAGUGCGUAGAUAUGCGGAGGAACACCGAUGGCGAAGGCAAUCCCCUGGGCCUGCACUGACGCUCAUGCACGAAAGCGUGGGGAGCAAACAGG
Molecule: ribosomal RNA, 253 nt
Filed under: uncultured bacterium
Lineage: Bacteria
Description: partial 16S ribosomal RNA
Rfam family: Bacterial small subunit ribosomal RNA
Source: RNAcentral